AGGAGACACAGUCAGAAGAUCCUCGAUUUCUGCGAACACCUACCCCUGAGCCCGAGAUCUCAUUCAGGCUGUAUGAACGGGUGAUUAUCAAUGGGAUAAAGGAGCCUAUAAAGAUCAAGUUACGGAAUGUCACAACAAAUGAUAUGACUGUCAGCUUCUAUCGUAUUCAAUAUACUGCAAAAAGAAUAGCUGAAGAGUAUGUUAUGAAGCAGAACUGCAAGGAGAUAGAAGUUGCAAAUUGUAUAGCAGUCAUCUCAUCAAACAAACGUGGAUCUUCAAUCAAAAUCACCCUUGAGAAGGAGACAGAUUGGAGAGAGAUUAUCACUCUUUUGAAGGAGUUAUAUAAGGAGAAGAUGAGCGGAUUUAGCAUCGAGAUUACCACCUCUUUUAAUCUUCUUGAUAUCUCAACUCUAUCCUCAAACACCUCUGUAAUACGCGGUCCUGCAGCUUUCAUUGGAGUGUCGGAUUCACAAUUAACAACCCAGACAUUGGCAUCAAAAAGAGCAUUAGAUGUCAAAGAAGAAGUAAUCUCACCACCUGCCAAAUCCCCUCUCUAUCGUCCUGCCAAAUCCCCUCGAAUUCAUGAAAUAUCCGAUGACGAAAAGCUGCCGCCUACGCGUACAAGAUCCACGGCCACUAGCCAGCAGC
Molecule: small RNA, 648 nt
Filed under: Histoplasma capsulatum
Lineage: Eukaryota; Fungi; Ascomycota; Eurotiomycetes; Onygenales; Ajellomycetaceae
Also listed under: 1 other name
Description: hypothetical RNA
Source: RNAcentral